AGUGAACGCUGGCGGUGCGCCUAACACAUGCAAGUCGAGCGAACAGAUGAAGUGCUUGCACUUCUGACGUUAGCGGCGAACGGGUGAGUAACACGUAAGGAAUCUACCUAUAAGCGGGGGAUAACAUUCGGAAACGGGUGCUAAUACCGCAUAAUAUCUUCUUCCGCAUGGAAGAAGAUUGAAAGACGGCUCUGCUGUCACUUAUAGAUGACCCUGCGGUGCAUUAGUUAGUUGGUGGGGUAACGGCCUACCAAGACGAUGAUGCAUAGCCGACCUGAGAGGGUGAUCGGCCACAUUGGGACUGAGACACGGCCCAAACUCCUACGGGAGGCAGCAGUAGGGAAUCUUCCGCAAUGGGCGAAAGCCUGACGGAGCAAUGCCGCGUGAGUGAAGAAGGCCUUCGGGUCGUAAAACUCUGUUAUAAGAGAAGAACAAAUUGUAGAGUAACUGCUACAGUCUUGACGGUAUCUUAUCAGAAAGCCACGGCUAACUACGUGCCAGCCGCCGCGGUAA
This 513-nucleotide ribosomal RNA is filed under the name uncultured bacterium. Its description in RNAcentral is "partial 16S ribosomal RNA". It matches the Rfam family "Bacterial small subunit ribosomal RNA", at positions 29 to 523 of the family's 1533-position model. The record is from RNAcentral.